Molecule: long non-coding RNA, 465 nt
Organism: Arvicola amphibius (Eurasian water vole)
Lineage: Eukaryota; Metazoa; Chordata; Mammalia; Rodentia; Cricetidae
Exons: 3
Source: RefSeq, a predicted model, not a curated record
UCUGCCCAGUGUCACAACUGCGCCAGAGUCUCAUCAUUGCAGGCUCUCCAUGAGCAGGACAGGGGAGGUGAUGCCAGGUCUGUUGUGACCACAUGUCAGGGGAUAUUUGAGGUCACUUUGUGUUGACUCCUGUGAGCUGGGAUGACAGAGGAAGUGCAGGAAUGAGAUGAAGAUGAAUAGCAAGUCCCCAAGGGUCAGAGGCAUAACUCUCAUGAAUUAUUUAGAUUCAUACAGUCCUGGAGUGAGCCCUGGAGUGCUUCAAGUAUUCACAAGGAAGGCUCUCGAAGCUUGCCUCAAGGAAUCACACUUGGCGUGGCAGGAGAGGGAAGUGAAGUGUGCUGGCAGCAGCGUGAGCCUGAGAUAAAGAUUGGGCCACAGUCCUCAGAUGAGGUUCUCUGUACGUCUGUGCUUGUGGGGACAUUGCCAUCAUUUGUGCCCAGUGGUAUCUAACUUCAAAAUGAUUUU